GGAGUGAAUGCGGUGGUGGUGGAUAGCUCACAGGGGAACUCGAUCUAUCAGAUUGAUAUGAUCAAGUAUAUUAAGAAGACGUACCCGACAUUGGAUGUGAUUGGCGGGAAUGUCGUGACGAUUGCACAGGUGCAGAAUUUGAUCAAGGCGGGGGUUGAUGGAGUGAGAGUUGGGAUGGGUUCGGGGUCCAUUUGUACGACGCAGGAGGUCUGCGCUGUUGGUAGAGGGCAGGCGACGGCAGUGUUUAAGGUUGCGUCCUUUGCUAAGGAUCAUGAUGUGCCUGUUAUUGCUGA
RNAcentral lists this unclassified non-coding RNA (293 nucleotides) under Hevea brasiliensis (rubber tree). Lineage: Eukaryota; Viridiplantae; Streptophyta; Magnoliopsida; Malpighiales; Euphorbiaceae. The record is from RNAcentral.